GUCUAAGUACAUACCUUAAAACGGUGAAACCGCGAAUGGCUCAUUAAAUCAGCUACGGUUCCUUAGAUCAUAUAUACUACAUGGAUAACCGUAGUAAUUCUAGAGCUAAUACAUGCAAUUAUGCCUUGACCCGCAACGGAACGGGUGCAUUUAUUAGAACAUAUAUGUAAAAUAUCUUCAUUCGAACAUUAAUAAAGAGAAGAUCAGUAGUUCAGCGAAGAGUCUCUUUAUACCGGCGACUUCAUUUUAUUAGCUGUACAAUCGCAGAG
This 269-nucleotide non-coding RNA is filed under the name Trichobilharzia regenti. RNAcentral describes it as "Eukaryotic small subunit ribosomal RNA". It matches the Rfam family "Eukaryotic small subunit ribosomal RNA", at positions 57 to 324 of the family's 1831-position model. The record is from Rfam by way of RNAcentral. Lineage: Eukaryota; Metazoa; Platyhelminthes; Trematoda; Strigeidida; Schistosomatidae.